This 540-nucleotide ribosomal RNA is filed under the name uncultured Geobacteraceae bacterium. RNAcentral's name for it is "bacterial SSU rRNA". It matches the Rfam family "Bacterial small subunit ribosomal RNA", at positions 9 to 526 of the family's 1533-position model. The record is from RNAcentral. Lineage: Bacteria; Pseudomonadati; Thermodesulfobacteriota; Desulfuromonadia; Geobacterales; Geobacteraceae.
GAGUUUGAUCCUGGCUCAGAACGAACGCUGGCGGCGUGCCUAACACAUGCAAGUCGAACGUGAUCCAGAGCUUGCUCUGGUGAAAGUGGCGCACGGGUGAGUAACGCGUGGAUAACCUACCCUGGUAUCCGGGAUAACAUUCCGAAAGGGGUGCUAAUACCGGAUAAGCCCACGGGCUCUUUGGAGCUUGCGGGAAAAGGUGGCCUCUAUUUAUAAGCUACUGUAUCAGGAUGGGUCCGCGUACCAUUAGCUAGUUGGCGGUGUAACGGACCACCAAGGCGACGAUGGUUAGCUGGUCUGAGAGGAUGAUCAGGCACACUGGAACUGAGACACGGUCCAGACUCCUACGGGAGGCAGCAGUGGGGAAUUUUGCGCAAUGGGGGAAACCCUGACGCAGCAACGCCGCGUGAGUGAUGAAGGCCUUUGGGUCGUAAAGCUCUGUCAGAGGGGAAGAAAUGAUAUAGUGCUAAUACCACUUUAUCUUGACGGUACCCUCAAAGGAAGCACCGGCUAACUCCGUGCCAGCAGCCGCGGUAAUAC